Long non-coding RNA from Mus musculus (house mouse), 3232 nucleotides. RefSeq annotates it as predicted gene, 52216. NCBI's taxonomy places the organism in Eukaryota, Metazoa, Chordata, Mammalia, Rodentia, Muridae. The transcript is spliced from 3 exons. The record is from RefSeq and is a predicted model, not a curated record.
GCCUGUUCACCCUGGUGACUGGAAACAUGUUGCUGGAAUCCCAGCCUUCCUGGACGCCCAUCCUGCUCAAGUCAAAACGCCUCAAAACACUUCUGUAAACGCUAACAGCAGCUUCAAGGCAUCCCAGUCCAAGGCCACAGAAAGUAGAAUCGACUGAUAAGAAACUCAGGACUGACUUCCCGAAGCACCACACUGACAGGGAGAUUGACUGAGUUUCUGCACAUGCCGUAAUCAUGCCCAAACAAAGCUCUGUCGCCUCCCCCUCUGGAUGGACACAGCCGGGAACACGCGGAGUCUGCAGAGAUGUCGGAUUUGCUUCUUUGUGUACUUUUUAGGCCUCUAUCACUCUCCUUGGCAGUCAAAAUUAAAGAUUUUCAAGGCAAAAGGCUGCUCCCUUAUUUCUUGGCUUCGUUUCACCAAUUCAUCUUUUGCUGUUGUUUCUUUAAAAAAAAAAAAAAAUCCCAGCACUUGGGGAGGCAGAGGCAGGCGGAUUUCUGAGUCCCAGGCCAGCCUGGUCUACAAAGUAAGUUCCAAGACAGCCAAGGCUAUACAGAGAAACCCUGUCUCGAACCCGCCCCCCCCCCCAAAAACAAAAUUAAAAAUAAAAUCUUGUGUGCUUUUUUGACUCAUUCCUCUCUCACCUCAUUCAGGAAAUUUCAACUUUUCUCAUAGUAAAGCCUUUUUUUUUUUUUUUAAAAAAAAAAGUGUUUAUCUAUUAUAUGUAAGUACACUGUAGCUGUCUUCAGACACUCCAGAAGAGGGCAUCCGAUCUCAUUCCAGAUGGUAGUGAGCGACCAUGUGGUUGCUGGGGUUUGAACUCAAGACCUCCAGAAGAUCAAUCAGUGCUCUUAACCUCUGAGCCAUCUCUCCAUAGUAAACCCUACUAAUUAACUGUAUUCAAGCAGUAACUUUUAACAAAUUGUGACUUGAACUAGAAUUUCCUUCCUAGGCUCAUAUAUUUGAAUGUUUGGUCCCCAGUGGAUAGAACUCUUUGAGAAUGGUGGAGGAGGUGUGUCACAGGAGGUAGGCUUUGAGGUUUCAAAAGCCCACACCAAGUCCUGUUUCACUUCCCCUCUAUCUCUGCCUGCUGCCUUUGGAUCAGAAACUGAGCUCUCACUACUGCUCCAGCGCCAUGCCUGCGUGCUGCCACACUCCCCACCACGGUGGGCAUGGACUAACCCUCUGAACCUAUAGCCAAGUCCCCAAUUGGAUAUUUGAAAUAAGUUGUCUUGACCAUGUGUUUUGUCACAGCAAUAGUAACCCAAAUUAAGAUACAAAUAUUCCUCUGAUCAAUUCUCCUCACAAGCCAAAGCCUGUGAUCUACCAAAUUACGUACAGUCAUUUUCCAUUCUCACAGAUUAUGUCUUACUCUGAAAUUCUAUAAAAAUCUCCCAUUAUUACCAUAUUUGAAGAAAAUGGAUUUCUUUCAGGAAUAAAACAAGAGACAAACACUUAUCAGGGAUACAAAGAUUUAAUCAAAACUAUUAACUAUUUUGAUCUAACUGGAAUCUACGCAACACUAAACAUAGCCACUGUAGAACACAUACUCUUUCUCUAGUAUAUAUGUAACAGGCUUUUAAGCUCAGGUGUUCAACACUUGGUCCACAGCUGAUGAUGCAGUUUUGGAAGAUGGUGAAACCUUUUGGACAUGGCACCUGGCUACCAGGUAAUAAGGUCAAAGGAACAGGCUUGAGGGUUCUAGAUCAGCCCUACAUUUAACCCGAGCUCUCUGCUGCUUGUUAUUUUGCUUUGUUAUGAAGCAAAAUAAAUUCUUUCCUUCUUCAGUUGCUUCCAUGUAGCAGUCUGACCCAGCAAAAAGCAUUGUCUUCAUUUGGGUUACUACUGUUAUGAUGAAGCACUGUGACCUAAGCAGCCUGGGAGGAAAGGACUUAUUUCCGCUUACACUUCCAUGUUGCUGUUCAUCAAAGGAAGUCAGGACAAGAACUCAAACAGCAAAGGAACCUGGAACCAGGAGCUGAAGCAAAGACCAUGGAGAGGGUGCAGCUUACUGGCUUGCUCUCUGUAGCUUGCUCAGCCUGCUUUCUUAUAGAACCCCGGACCACCAGCCCAGGGAUGGCACCACCCACAAUGGGCUGGGCUCUCCCACAUCAAUCAUUAAUUAAGACAAUACACUACAGGCAUGCAUAUAGGAGGAUCUUAUUGAAGAAUUUUCUCAAUUGGGACUCCCUCCUCUCCAGUGACUCUAGCUUGUUUCAAGUUGACAUAAAACUAGCCAGCACAAGCACAGCAGCCAAUACACAGCUCACACGGUGGUCCCUCAGAAAGCUGGAAUCACCCUACUUCUGCCACAGUACAAGUGAGGUGGAAAGCAGCCACGGAGAUCAUGAUAAAGCAAAAUCUUUCUACAUAUUAGAAACUAAGAAACUGUAGCGCUCUCUCCCUCCCCUGCAGAGAGGAUGCCCUGAGAAUUCACAACCCUCUACAGACUGGACUCUCUGAUUCCAUCCUCUUCUCUGCAAAGCUUUUCCUUUUACCUUUCCCAAUUCUUUUGCCUUCAAGAUCAACUUUAAACCCACCAUUGCUACAAAGCAGUCUCUGCUUGCUUUCUGUCUACAGACAUGUUGUCAUUAUCCAACUUCCAGCUCUAAGGCUGUCCAUAUCUCUAUUAGCCCCCAAUCACCUCUUGUCAUGAAGAAUUAUUUAAAGUCUGAUGUGUCUGAACACUUGUCCUUAAAUACAAAGUUCAACUAUUUGGUGAUAUAAUUUGUAUCUUAGAGCCUCACUACCCAUAGAUUGAUCCAUCAGCAAUGAUGAGUUUAUUAAGUAGCAAAAUCUCAGGCUCAACCCCAGAUAAAUGAUAUGUGUACUUUUAAAUUUUGUUUUUAUUUGCAACAAUGUCUUAUUAUGUAGCCCAAGUUGGUCUCAAACUUCAUAUCACCAUGAGCUAGUCUAUUACCAAGUUGUUUCCCAGGUAUCUAUCACUACUCCCCUGAGUCUUUAAUGUAACAAGAGCCAGUAGAAAAUCUAUUGAACACUCUGCCUUAUAGUACUUCUUUCAAAACCAUCACAUUUUAAGUAGGAGCAAUUUAAUAAAUACCAUUCAAGUUUAUCUAAAAUAGGCUGGGUUUUGUUUCCAUGUUCUGAGACAGGAUCUCACUAUGCAGCUUUGACUGGCAUGGAAUUGACUAUGGAGACAAGGUUGGCCUCAAACUCAUAGGACUUCUUGCCUGCCUUUGCCUCUGCCUAUUAAAUGCUGGAGUUAAAGGGAUAU